GAUGAACGCUGGCGGCGUGUCUAACACAUGCAAGUCGAGCGAUUCUCUUCGGAGAAGAGCGGCGGACGGGUGAGUAACGCGUGGGUAACCUGCCCUGUACACACGGAUAACAUACCGAAAGGUAUGCUAAUACGAGAUAAUAUGCUUUUAUCGCAUGGUAGAAGUAUCAAAGCUUUUGCGGUACAGGAUGGACCCGCGUCUGAUUAGCUAGUUGGUAAGGUAACGGCUUACCAAGGCGACGAUCAGUAGCCGACCUGAGAGGGUGAUCGGCCACAUUGGAACUGAGACACGGUCCAAACUCCUACGGGAGGCAGCAGUGGGGAAUAUUGCACAAUGGGCGAAAGCCUGAUGCAGCAACGCCGCGUGAGCGAUGAAGGCCUUCGGGUCGUAAAGCUCUGUCCUCAAGGAAGAUAAUGACGGUACUUGAGGAGGAAG
RNAcentral lists this ribosomal RNA (435 nucleotides) under uncultured bacterium. RNAcentral describes it as "bacterial SSU rRNA". It matches the Rfam family "Bacterial small subunit ribosomal RNA", at positions 28 to 490 of the family's 1533-position model. The record is from RNAcentral.